CUAUUUUUCCUUUUAAUUCUUCAAUUUUGUCUAAGCUCGCCCUUAAUUUAACCGUAGCAUUACGAUUACGGUACUGGUGAAGCGAUCUUUCUAGUUCAGUUAUCCGGACCUUCAACUCCGUCUUCUCAUCUUGGCAAACUAGUAGACUCUUUCUCAAGGCGACUUCUCGAGCCCGAGUAUCCUGAAAUUUCUUUUCCCAUUGAUUAGCUUUCGUCUUUUCCUCCUGAAUUUCUUGUCGCCAUUGUUCUGGCGUUUUACCCAAGCCAGCAGCUCUUACCGACCUACGCAACUUCUUGUAAUCUGUCUUCAGGCUGUCCAAAUCUUCUUCUGCUUUGUUCUUUCCUU
Molecule: long non-coding RNA, 345 nt
Filed under: Gossypium raimondii (Peruvian cotton)
Lineage: Eukaryota; Viridiplantae; Streptophyta; Magnoliopsida; Malvales; Malvaceae
Description: long non-coding RNA (GRAI_LNC004960)
Source: RNAcentral